RNAcentral lists this ribosomal RNA (450 nucleotides) under uncultured bacterium. RNAcentral describes it as "partial 16S ribosomal RNA". It matches the Rfam family "Bacterial small subunit ribosomal RNA", at positions 354 to 796 of the family's 1533-position model. The record is from RNAcentral.
GUGGGGAAUCUUCCGCAAUGGACGAAAGUCUGACGGAGCAACGCCGCGUGAGUGAUGAAGGUCUUCGGAUUGUAAAGCUCUGUUAAUCGGGACGAAAGAGCCUAGUGUGAAUAAUGCUAGGAAGUGACGGUACCGGAAUAGAAAGCCACGGCUAACUACGUGCCAGCAGCCGCGGUAAUACGUAGGUGGCAAGUGUUGUCCGGAAUUAUUGGGCGUAAAGCGCGCGAAGGCGGAUCUGCCAGUCUGUCUUAAAAGUUCGGGGCUUAACCCCGUGAUUGGAUGGAAACUACAGAUCUAGAGUAUCGGAGAGGAAAGUGGAAUUCCUAGUGUAGCGGUGAAAUGCGUAGAUAUUAGGAAGAACACCAGUGGCGAAGGCGACUUUCUGGACGAAAACUGACGCUGAGGCGCGAAAGCCAGGGGAGCGAACGGGAUUAGAAACCCCGGUAGUCC